GGUGAACGCUGGCGGCGGGCCUAAUACAUGCAAGUCGAGCGAAAGGACGAGGAGAGCUCUCCUCUGCCGUUAGCGACGGGCGGGUGAGUAACAAGUAGAUAACAUACCUAUUAGACUGGGAUAAAUACGGGGAGACGGAGACACUACCACAGCAUAUAUCGAACGGCAUGGAUCAAUAGAGCAUGGCAGUUUGGCUGUCUCUAAUAGAUGAUUCCGCGCCGCAUUAGCUAGUUGGUAAGGGAACGGCAUACCAAGGCGACGAUGCGUAGCUGAUCUGAGAGGAUGAUCAGCCACACUGGAACUGAGACACGGUCCAGACUCCUACGGGAGGCAGCAGUGGGGAAUAUUGGACAAUGGGCGCAAGCCUGAUCCAGCAAUGCCGCGUGGGUGAAGAAGGUCUUCGGAUCGUAAAGCCCUUUUAUUGGGGAAGAACAGCUGUGUAUUAAACCAUGGCCGUCCUGACGGUACCCAAAGAGAAAGCCACGGCUAACUUCGUG
This 497-nucleotide ribosomal RNA is filed under the name uncultured bacterium. Its description in RNAcentral is "partial 16S ribosomal RNA". It matches the Rfam family "Bacterial small subunit ribosomal RNA", at positions 28 to 507 of the family's 1533-position model. The record is from RNAcentral.